ACCCAGAAAAUUUGCACAGAGAGAAAGAGAGAAAGAGAGACAAGAGUGUGGCCCAUCUUUAAAGUGACACAUUAAUUCAAGAAUAAUUUUACAUCAGAAUUUUAUAGCGCAUUGUCGUACCUAUCAGUAGUUUGUCACGACUUUCCUUGUGAACAUAAAAAAUCAACUCUGUCUUCAAGUACCACUUGAGUGUCUGUCUCUCCACCAUUAGUUUCUUCUAGCAGAGUGAGAUACAUACCAAAUGAAUGAUGGAUCACCUUAAACCAAAAGAUCCAUCAAUGGCUUGCUAUUUUCUACUGAAUAUUAUGAUCAUCCUAUCCUCUUCUCUAUUUCCUGUUUGUGCUAGUGAAGACAUUUUGAGAGCAAGCAAAUCAAUCAACACUAACCAAACCUUAACUUCAGCUGGUGGAAAUUUUGCGUUAGGCUUCUUCAGUCCAGGCAAUUCCACCAACAGAUACAUUGGCAUGUGGUACAAAACAAUCUCCAAACAAACAGUCAUAUAUGGGUUGCUAAUAGAGACAACUCUCUUGCCAAAAUUCUACAGCGGUUUUCAGGCUCGGUGAUGAUGGGAAUCUUGUGAUUUUUGAUGGAAGAGGACAGGUAGUCUGGUCAACAAAUGCAACAAUUCUCAAUUUGGCCAUUAACUCCACAGUUGCACAACUUUCAGGUUGAAUUGGAAAACUGGACAGCGAAGCCUUCUAUACUCAUACGUAGACAAUAAAGAUCCUGGACCAGGAAUGUUUUUAGUAGGUAUAGAUCCCGAAGGGCAUCCACAGAUUUUCAUUUGGAAGCAAAACCAUCCAUAUUGGAGAAGCACAGUAUAUGACUAUAGUUUUUCUUAUAUAGGAUACAAAUCUUAAGGUUUUACCUCAUUUUUUACUUUCAUAGUAGAAGGUGAUGAAAUUUGUCUCAGUUGUAGUGUCCCUGAAAGUUCGAAGAAAAUAAGAGCCAUGCUAACUCCUAGUGGGCAAGCUCAGGUCUUUUAUGGGAACAAAGUGACAAUUCAUGGGUAGUUGCAUGGAAGUUGCCAGUAGUUGAGUCCAAAUGUGAUUUUUAUGGCCAGUGUGCUCCAUUUAGUAGCUGUGAACAAAAUGGUUUGCAUCCAUUUUGUUGUUCUUUUUGUUAGGAUUAGGGCACGCCUAAAAUCAAUCACAUACAGAAAAGAGACAAGAUAUUUACAUGGUUCGGCAAUUGCCUAUGUCCACAAAGAGAUAUUCACUAUAGAAUUUCCCAGAGGGAGUUUACAACACAAACACCUCACUCUCUCUUUAUAGCACUCUCACUCGUAAAUACAUACACUCUGUGUUGCCUUAUCUUUCUGAUGAACUAACUCAGCUCACCUCUUCCCAUUUUAUACACAAACGGGAAUGCCAAACUCAACCUCUGCUUGCCAACAACCAACUACCAAAGUUAAUGGCAAGCCACCCUAGGUUUGAAAAACUUUAGUAAGUUUGUAGCCUCCAUACUUGACUUCCAUAGCCAAGUUCACAUUGGUGUGGAUACUCAAUAAUUCUCCCCCUCUACAUCUAUGAGGAGUAGGAUCCUUACUGGAAGUCCAUCCUAACAAUGUCCCUGCAUACUUCGAGUUUGUCUCUCGAGACCACCUUUAUAAGCAUGUCAGCUGGAUUCUUAUCUGUGUGGAUCUUGACCAGUUCUAAUAACUGUUUUUCCAUCACUUUGCGUAUCCAAUGAUACCGAACAUCGAUAUGCUUUGUGCGAUAAUGGUACAUAGAAUUCUUGCUCAGGUCUAUGGCACUAUGGCUAUCACAAUGUAGCAUGAACUUUUCCUGCUUUAGUUCCAGUUCAUGGAGAAACCGUUUUAACCACAACAUUUCUUUUCCAGCUUCCGUUGCGACAAUAUACUCUGCCUCGGUUGUGGAUAAAGCAACACACGUCUGCAGCUUAGUCUGCCAAGACACGGCUCCCCCUGCAAAAGUAAAUAGAAAUCUUGAUGUAGAUUUCCUACCAUCAAGAUCCCCUACCAUAUCUGAAUCAGUAUAGCCUUUCAAGACUGGUUUAGCUCCUCCAAAGCACAAACACAUUUUAGAUGUACCCUUAAAGUACCUCAGAAUCCACUUGAUUGCUUCCCAAUGUGCUCUUUCCCUAGAUUGGAAAGAAAUCUGCUUACUACUCCAACAACAUGAGCAAUAUCUGGUCAGAUGGACACCAUUGCAUACAUCAAACUCCCUACUGCAGAUGAGUAGAGAAUUGCCUCCAUCUCUUCUCUUUCAUUUGUAGAUAAAGGACAAGAGCUCUUGCUCAGCUUGAAAUGGUUAGCCAGCAGAGGAUUAACUGGCUUGGCAUCUUUCACGUUGAACCUUUCAAUCACCCGUUCAACAUAUUUUUCCUGUGACAGCCAUAUCUUCUUGGCUUUCCUAUCAUGAACAAUCUUUAUGCCCAAAAUUUGCUAUGCUAGGCCUAAAUUCUUCAUGUCAAAAUACUGCGACAAGUCCUUUUUCAACUUGUUGAUCAUAACAGGAUCAUGUCCGAUGAUCAGCAUAUCAUCGACAUAAAAACAGUAGAAUGAUGAAGUUUCUAUCUAAAAACCUUCGGAAAUAUACACACUGGUCUGCAACCGUUAUUGUGUACUCAUGAUCCACCAUGAAUGAGUCAAACUUCUUGUACCAUUGUCUUGGCACCUACUUCAAGCCAUAGAGCCUCUUCUUCAAUUUGUAGACUAAAUUAUGUUUCCUUUUAACUUCAAAUCCUUCUGGUUGCUCCAUAUAGAUUUCUUCCUCCAAAUCACCAUGGAGAAAGACAGUCUUGACAUCCAUCUGUUCUACCUCCAGAUUCAAGCGAGCUAUUAAUCCCAGAGCUACUUGAAUGGAAGUCAUCUUCACAACUAGAGAGAAGAUCUCAUCAAAAUCAAUUCCUUUCUUUUGUCCAAAACCUUUGACCACCAAGCAAGCUUUAUGCUACAAUAGUUUACCGUUGCCAUCUUUCUUCAAUUUAUACACACAUUUGUUCUUCAAGGCUCUCCUGCCUCGUAGAAGUGGAACAAGCUCAUAAGUAUGGUUCUUCUGCAAAGAACUCAUCUCCUCCUUCAUGGCUUGCAUCCAAUAGUCUUUCUCUGUAUGACUCUUUGCUUCCAAAAAACUCUCAGGUUCCCUCUCAUCAGUAAUCAGAAUAUACUGAGAAGUGGGAUAUUUGGUUGAUGGCACGACAACUCUUCUAGAUCUCCUGCCUCUGGUUGAGGGGGUUGCUCCCCCUGCUCAACACCCUCUUUAUCUGGGUCUUCAUCUAUUUCCUCCUGAUCCUCAAUUUCUGGCAUAGGAUCCUGCAACUCUGGCACUUCUUGUUGCACAUCAUCACAUCUAGCAUUUUGUGAUGGCUCAAGAGACAGGAACAAGUUUGGAGUGAUGGCAUCUCUAGACUUUGCAGAGUUCUCAAAAUCUGGUACUGUCUAGUCUUCCUGGAACACAAUAUCUCUGUUCCUGAACAUCUUCUUAUUCACUGGGUCCCACAGCUUAUAUCCAAAUGUUGUGUCUGAAUAGCCCACAAAUAUACAUGGAGUGGACUUGUCAUCAACCUUCUGUAUGUUUUCCUUGGAGAUGUGUACGAACGCCUUACAUCCAAAGACUCUCAAGUGAGAAUAUGAUACCUUUCUUCUGGACCAGACUUCCUUAGGUAUUGCAAAAUUCAACAGGACUGAAGGUGACCUGUUGAUGAGGUAACAGGCUGUACGGGCGGCUUCAACCCAGAAUGACUUUGGCAACUUUGCCAUUCUGAGCAUGCAUCUGACUCUUUCAAUAAUAGUGUGGUUCAUCAUCUCUACCACGUCAUUGUGUUGUAGGGUACCAGGAACUAUUGUCUCGUACUGGAUACCUCUGCUAGCACAAUAUGCUUCAAAAGUAUUGGAAGUGUACUCGCCACCAUUGUCUGUGCAAAGACACUUCAAUUUCUUCCCGGUCUCUCUUUUCACCAUUGCAUGAAACUCCUGGAAGUGCUAGAAUACCUCAUCCUUCAUCUUCAGGAAAUACAUCCACAAUUUCCUUGAUGCAUCAUCAAUGAAGGUCAGAAAAUACUUGCGGCCGCCAAGUGACUUCAUUUCAAUUGGGCCACAAACAUCCAAGUAUACCAUACUGAGCACUUCUAUUUUCCUCUUGCUCAUUGAAUUGAAUAGUACUCGAUGCUGCUUGUCAUAAAGGCAAUGAUCAUAUGGCUUCAGGGCACUCCCUUUGGAUAAGGGUAUCUUGGAUUGUUGUGCUAACAGAUGCAAUCCCUUCUCACUCAUGUGAGCCAGUCUUCUGUGCCAUAAAUCUGGUGACUCCCCUGUCUUCUGUUGCAUUAAGACUUUCCAGACAGAUUUUUGUUUGAGUCUUGUACAGUGUUGAAGACAUCUCUCCUCUAGCGAUUGUCAAAGCUCCUUCUAUUAGCUUCCAACAGCCAUUUCUGAAUGUUCUUGUAUAGCCCUGUUGGUCCAAGGUGCUUCCAGAGAUAAGCUUGAGGCGCAAAUCAGGGACAUACCUCACAUUUUUGAGAACCAACUUGUGUCCAACAUUAGUCUGAAUACUAAUGUCUCCAAUAUCCACAAUCUUCGAAUAGCUAGUAUUCCCCAUUUGAACAGUGCCAAAAUCUCCAGCAUUGUACGAACUAAAGAGCUCUCUGUGGGAAAUGGCAUGAUAGGAUGCAGUUGUGUCUAUCACCCACUUUGUACAGCUAUGGUCAGCCACGUGAAGGCAAUCCUCUUAUUCACCAACUCCAAGAAGUAUUUCAUCAGCUGUUGUGGUUGUCAUGUUCUCAUCUCCCUUUGACUUACUGCUUUGGCCUUUAUCUUUCUGGCUUGGGCAGUUCCUCUUUAUGUGACCCUCCUAGCCACAGUGAAAGCAAGUGAAGCUAGAGUUACCUUGAUUUUUACUAUCUCUGGAUUUACUACUGUUGUUUCAUUUGCCUCUACUCUUACUUCUUUCUCUACCUCUUCCUCUACCUCUAUCUCUGCCUCUACUUUCUGUGACAAGAGCAUGGGAAUGAUUACCUCUCAUGUCUUUCCUCUUUGACUCUUCAUUGUACAUGGCGUCUGUGACCAUGCUCAUGGUCAGCUUCCCCUCUAGUGCAGAGUUUUUGAGAGAAACCACCAACGUUUCCCAACUAUCUGGUAAAAAACUGAGAAGUAGUACGGUUUGCAUUUCAUCAUCCAAGGGCAUCUUGACGGUUGCAAGUUGAUUCACCAGAUUCUUGAAUUCACUGGUGUGCUCGGCAACAGACACACCAUUCUUUAACUUCAGAUUUACAAGCAUUUUCAUCACUAAGGCUUUGUUUCGGGCGGUCUUUAACUGGUACAUUCCUUCUAACAUUGUCCAAAGGACAUAUGCUUCUGUCUCCUAAGCGACAUGGUGGAACACACUGUGGUUUAUCCAUUAUCUGAUACAACCGACAGUCUCUUGGUUUAUCUUUAUCCAGUCUUCAUCCUUCACUUCUUCUGACUUAACCCCUUUUAGAGCAAUAGGGUCAAACAGGUCUAUAUAAUAUAGGAUGUCUUCCAUCUAUGGCUUCCAAAUUGCAUAAUUGGAAGGAUUUAACUUUAUCAUCAAACCUGAAGUUGAUGUAGUUUCCUCCAUCGUCUUCUUACUUUUACAGAAACUCUUAUUCAAAAAUCUGACCAUACAGAUCUCUCUGGAAUACUCCAGAUAGUUGGAAACUAUUAUUGGCUCGCCAAAGUCGGACUUCAAAUGGCUCAAAUCUAGUCAAAAUAAGCUCGACAGUUCAAAUUUGCGAACGUACCGUAGCCACAUAGCACCAAAUAACUCUUUGUCUCCGGGUCGGGUCGGGUCAAACUAACGGGUUGAUAGGUCAACUGGCGUGAUGACGUGGCUAACACGUGGCGACAUGCGAGCUGACCUGGCUUACACAUGGCUAAAACGUGGCAUUGACGUGGCGCUGACGUAACUGCCAGAUGGCGUGUGACGUGGCGGUGACAUCGCGAACACGUACACACCACUCUCAUUCGUCAUUCCUCUGCACAUCGGGCACGUGCUUGAGACUGGUGUAACAUGUUGGUACUUUCAAUGGCGCGUGUGGCCCGUGUCAACUGAGACUCACGCGCUUUCUUUAGCUGGUGCGUGAGAGCUCGUAGAGCAUCGUCUAGGGCUCUGCUUUGCAGUUCUGGACUUCUCUCAUUGAGAGCUUCCUCUCAGUAUGCUCAAAAGUGAAUUUGAGCAACUUGAUUUCUGGCAGUUUCGAAAAAACACACCUUGCUUUUCGGAAAAAUCAACCAACGAGGCUCUGAUAUCACUUGUUAGGAUUAGGGCACGCCAAAAAUCAAUCACACACAAAAAAAAAGACAAGAUAUUUACGUGAUUCGGUAAUUGCCUACGUCCAUGGAGAGAUAUCCACUAUAGAAUUUCCCGGAGGGAGUUUACAACACUCACACCUCACUCUCUCUCUAUAGCACUCUCACUCACAGAUACAUACACUCUGUGUUGCCUUCUCUUUCUGAUGAACUAACUCAGCUCACCUCUUUCCAUUUUAUACACAAACGGGAAUGCCAAACUCAAUCUCUGCUUGCCAACAACCAACUACCAAUGUUAAUGGCAAGCCACCCUAGGUUUGAAAACUUCAGCAAGUUUGUAGCCUCCAUACUUGACUUCCAUAGCCAAGUUCACAUUGGUGUGGAUACUCAACAAUUUGCAGGGUUUUGAACCUAAAGAUCAAAAUUCUUUGAAUCUUGGAAAUUGGACAGGAGGUUGUGCCAGGAAAAUGGCACUGACAUGUGAUCUGGGAGAUUGGUUUUUUAAGUUUGAAAGGAUAAAAUUGCCUGAUUAUUCAACCUCUCGUGGAGAUAUGACUGUUAAUUAAUGUGAAUCCAAACGUCAUGACAACUGCUCCUGCACAGCUUACGCGUGUGCUAAUAUGAGUGGAGAAACUAUUUCGAGGGUCUCGUGGACCUAAAAGGCAAUGACUACCAUGGCAAAGACCUUUAUGUACGCCUUCAUGGCUCGGACCAAGUUGCUGAUGGUAAGUUGAAGCAUAGAAGCAAAAAUCUAAUUGCGAUUGCAGCAGCUGUCAUCUCUGUAGGAUUGCUUCUUAUUAGUAGCUUUGGCUAUGUCUUCACGAUGAGAAGGCUGAGAAGUCAAGGUAUCACAACCUCACAAAUGAAAGUUAUUUAAUAGCACACUUGCAGUUUCUCAUACAUGAUUUUGUUUAACUGAAUACUCUUGAGUACGAGACAAUAGAUGGAGAUUCACACGAGCUUGACGCCAACUCUAGUGCGUCUGUUGUUGGGCCAAGUAAUGGAGAAUUGUUAUCGUUUAGUUUAAGAAGCAUAUUAGUUGCUACUGACAAAUUUUCUGAAGUAAAACAACUUGGAGAGGGUGGGUAUGGACCUGUUUAUAAGGGGAAUUUUCCUGAAGUACAAGUAGUAGCCAUUGAAAAGCAAUCUAAAAAAUCAUUACAAGGAACAAAGGAGUUCAUGAAUGAGUUGAAACUUAUUGCCAAACUCCAAAAUCAAAAUCUUGCUGGGCUUUUGGGUUGCUGUGUUGAAUAAGAGGAAACGAUACUAAUCUAUGAGUAUAUGUGCAAUGGAAGCCUACACAAAUUGCUAUUUUGUCCCUCUAAGUAAGCCAAUCUGGACUGCAAUAAACGAUUCCUAAUCAUAGAAGGGAUUGCUCAAGGUCUUAUCUACUUGCACAAGUAUUGUAUAUUGAAAGCCAUUCACAAGGAUUUAAAGGCAAGCAAUAUUUUGUUGGAAGAAGCAAUGAAUCCCAAAAUUUUGGACUUUGGAACUGCAAGGAACUUGGAAUAAAUCAAACUAAAGCAAAUACCAUGUGAGUGGUGGGCACAUAGUAAGUACCAACUGAUAUUUUUAUUUUUAUGAAUUUUGAAUGAGAUAAAUUUAUGUGUACUGCAGAAAUCAAUAUAGGGCUGCUGCUGCUAUUUCUUCAAUUUGAUUGAUAGCAUUGUUAUUAGUGAUGCAGUGGCUACAUGUCACCAGAAUAUGCAUUAUA
Camellia sinensis is the source of this 7943-nucleotide non-coding RNA. Lineage: Eukaryota; Viridiplantae; Streptophyta; Magnoliopsida; Ericales; Theaceae. The record is from RefSeq and is a predicted model, not a curated record.